Molecule: ribosomal RNA, 279 nt
Filed under: uncultured bacterium
Lineage: Bacteria
Description: partial 16S ribosomal RNA
Rfam family: Bacterial small subunit ribosomal RNA
Source: RNAcentral
UGCCAGCCGCCGCGGUAAUACAGAGGGUGCGAGCGUUAAUCGGAAUUACUGGGCGUAAAGCGUGCGUAGGCGGUUAAUUAAGUCAGAUGUGAAAGCCCUGGGCUCAACCUGGGAAUUGCAUUUGAUACUGGUUAACUUGAGUAUGGGAGAGGGAAGUGGAAUUUCCGGUGUAGCGGUGAAAUGCGUAGAUAUCGGAAGGAACACCAGUGGCGAAGGCGACUUCCUGGACCAUUACUGACGCUGAGGCACGAAAGCGUGGGGAGCAAACAGGAUUAGAUA